UAAGCCCUAGCGCCCAUCCCCGGAAGCAGCUCUCUGUGCUUCCUGAACUGUUUACCUAAAGGCUUAUCUUCCCGGGGCUCCUUCCCUCCGGAUUUCAUUCUGUUUAUAAAUAUUGAAGCUGAAAUGUAAACCACGCUGAAAUUCUUUCCCCCAAAGGCCUACAUGUCCCGGGGUGAGAGAUGAGCAGAAGAAAAGGUUCUUUUGCUAGUAAAUGAAGAGAACCUUGUGAAAGACUUGGAGCAGAGAUCAGCUAACUGAGCCUACUGGUCAAAUUUGACCUACCACCUUUUUUAAAAAAAAUAAAGUUUUACUGAAACACA
Sus scrofa (pig) is the source of this 320-nucleotide non-coding RNA. NCBI's taxonomy places the organism in Eukaryota, Metazoa, Chordata, Mammalia, Artiodactyla, Suidae. The record is from RefSeq and is a predicted model, not a curated record.